Non-coding RNA from Trichobilharzia regenti, 45 nucleotides. The record is from Rfam. Lineage: Eukaryota; Metazoa; Platyhelminthes; Trematoda; Strigeidida; Schistosomatidae.
AUCCACCUGACGAGUCCCAAAUAGGACGAAAUACGCCUAUUGGAU